GGAACGCUGGCGGCGUGCCUAAUACAUGCAAGUCGAGCGGACCGACGGGAGCUUGCUCCCUUAGGUCAGCGGCGGACGGGUGAGUAACACGUGGGUAACCUGCCUGUAAGACUGGGAUAACUCCGGGAAACCGGGGCUAAUACCGGAUGCUUGAUUGAACCGCAUGGUUCAAUCAUAAAAGGUGGCUUUCAGCUACCACUUACAGAUGGACCCGCGGCGCAUUAGCUAGUUGGUGAGGUAACGGCUCACCAAGGCGACGAUGCGUAGCCGACCUGAGAGGGUGAUCGGCCACACUGGGACUGAGACACGGCCCAGACUCCUACGGGAGGCAGCAGUAGGGAAUCUCCCGCAAUGGACGAAAGUCUGACGGAGCAACGCCGCGUGAGUGAUGAAGGUUUUCGGAUCGUAAAACUCUGUUGUUAGGGAAGAACAAGUACCGUUCGAAUAGGGCGGCACCUUGACGGUACCUAACCAGAAAGCCACGGCUAACUACGUGCCAGCAGCCGCGGUAAUACGUAGGUGGCAAGCGUUGUCCGGAAUUAUUGGGCGUAAAGCGCGCGCAGGCGGUUUCUUAAGUCUGAUGUGAAAGCCCCCGGCUCAACCGGGGAGGGUCAUUGGAAACUGGGGAACUUGAGUGCAGAAGAGGAGAGUGGAAUUCCACGUGUAGCGGUGAAAUGCGUAGAGAUGUGGAGGAACACCAGUGGCGAAGGCGACUCUCUGGUCUGUAACUGACGCUCGAGGCGCGGAAGCGUGGGGAGCGAACA
Molecule: ribosomal RNA, 764 nt
Filed under: uncultured Bacillus sp.
Lineage: Bacteria; Bacillati; Bacillota; Bacilli; Caryophanales; Bacillaceae
Description: bacterial SSU rRNA
Rfam family: Bacterial small subunit ribosomal RNA
Source: RNAcentral